Acanthosepion pharaonis is the source of this 111-nucleotide non-coding RNA. NCBI's taxonomy places the organism in Eukaryota, Metazoa, Mollusca, Cephalopoda, Sepiida, Sepiidae. The record is from the annotation of a GenBank genome assembly.
UUACGGUCAUAUAGCGUUGAAACAUUGGUUCCCGUACAAUCACCGAAUUUAAGCAACGACGAGCCAGAUCAGUACCUAGAUGGGUGAGCGUUUUGGAAUACCAGCUGAUGU